This 796-nucleotide long non-coding RNA is filed under the name Androctonus crassicauda. The record is from RNAcentral. Lineage: Eukaryota; Metazoa; Arthropoda; Arachnida; Scorpiones; Buthidae.
GAGCGCUGCCAUGCCCCAGAUUGUCCGUUGCACUGCCUGCGGGUCCACAAAUGACACAAAUAGGUAUAAGCCUGGAGGCGAGUAUUAUGCGCUUUAAUCCAGAGUGAUCUAUAUAUAUAGCAGUAGUGGUGGGGGGACUUUCGAUAUGGGGGCGCAUCCUCUUCAGUUACACAGCUUGGGGGAGGGAAGUUUGAGGUUGGAGGGCGGAACUAACAAGUAAAUUGUCCUGUGUCUGUCCGCGAGGGUCGCGCCUGGCUGGGGUGGAUAAGUCCAAACGCGAAAGGGAGAGUCGCAGCCGGUGUGAUGACGGGUGGGAGUGGUUUCGGUUGGUUGGUUGCUGUUCUGUUUGGAUAUGCCUUUUCCGACAUGGAAGCUGAUCAUUUAGCAUUCGACAUUGCAGUAAACUUUCAUUCAGUUUCAGUUGUCUUGCGUUUGGGAGCAUCAUGUGCGAGGCUGUCAUACCUAUUUUGUCACUGGACUCAUUCGGUUGGUGCGCGCGUGCUUGCGUCGAUUGUCGCGGCUGGGCUGGACGGACAGUGUGGAGGUUGGAAGGGUCCGGUUGGAAUGUCAACCAGAUUUUCUGGUGUAUAAUUGUUUUUGUAAAUGUUUUGAAUUUUUCUGUCGAUGGUUGGUGCUCUUUAUUGGUCAUUGGUGGAGUGCUAAUGGCUCUCAUUAGUGCUCUACUGGUGAUUGAGUGGUGCACUGGUGGUUGGUGCUCUACAUUGGUACUCUUUGGCGUGCCGCAGUGCAAUAAAGUCUGGUUGCUGCGACAGCCGGAACUUGGGACAGUCUUGGU